CUACGGGCGGCUCCAGUGGGGAAUAUUGCACAAUGGGCGCAAGCCUGAUGCAGCCAUGCCGCGUGUAUGAAGAAGGCCUUCGGGUUGUAAAGUACUUUCAGCGGGGAGGAAGGGAGUAAAGUUAAUACCUUUGCUCAUUGACGUUACCCGCAGAAGAAGCACCGGCUAACUCCGUGCCAGCAGCCGCGGUAAUACGGAGGGUGCAAGCGUUAAUCGGAAUUACUGGGCGUAAAGCGCACGCAGGCGGGUUGUUAAGUCAGAUGUGAAAUCCCCGGGCUCAACCUGGGAACUGCAUCUGAUACUGGCAAGCUUGAGUCUCGUAGAGGGGGGUAGAAUUCCAGGUGUAGCGGUGAAAUGCGUAGAGAUCUGGAGGAAUACCGGUGGCGAAGGCGGCCCCCUGGACGAAGACUGACGCCCAGGUGCGAAAGCGUGGGGAGCAAACAGGAUUAGAUACCCUCGUAGUC
This 464-nucleotide ribosomal RNA is filed under the name uncultured bacterium. RNAcentral's name for it is "partial 16S ribosomal RNA". It matches the Rfam family "Bacterial small subunit ribosomal RNA", at positions 339 to 795 of the family's 1533-position model. The record is from RNAcentral.